RNAcentral lists this ribosomal RNA (259 nucleotides) under uncultured Lactobacillus sp. Its description in RNAcentral is "partial 16S ribosomal RNA". It matches the Rfam family "Bacterial small subunit ribosomal RNA", at positions 431 to 683 of the family's 1533-position model. The record is from RNAcentral. Lineage: Bacteria; Bacillati; Bacillota; Bacilli; Lactobacillales; Lactobacillaceae.
CUCUGUUGUUGGAGAANAACACGAGUGAGAGUACUGUUCAUUCGAUGACGGUAUCUAACCAGCAAGUCACGGCUAACUACGUGCCAGCAGCCGCGGUAAUACGUAGGUGGCAAGCGUUGUCCGGAUUUAUUGGGCGUAAAGGGAACGCAGGCGGUCUUUUAAGUCUGAUGUGAAAGCCUUCGGCUUAACCGGAGUAGUGCAUUGGAAACUGGAAGACUUGAGUGCAGAAGAGGAGAGUGGAACUCCAUGUGUAGCGGUG